RNAcentral lists this ribosomal RNA (394 nucleotides) under uncultured bacterium. RNAcentral describes it as "bacterial SSU rRNA". It matches the Rfam family "Bacterial small subunit ribosomal RNA", at positions 505 to 898 of the family's 1533-position model. The record is from RNAcentral.
GUGUCAGCAGCCGCGGUAAGACGAACCGUCCAAACGUUGUUCGGAAUCACUGGGCUUAAAGGGCGCGUAGGCGGACUGCCAAGUCCGGGGUGAAAUCUUUCGGCUUAACCGGAAAAGGGCCUUGGAAACUGGCGGUCUCGAGGGAGGUAGGGGCCUGUGGAACUUCGGGUGGAGCGGUGAAAUGCGUUGAUAUCCGAAGGAACGCCGGUGGCGAAAGCGACGGGCUGGAUCUCUUCUGACGCUGAGGCGCGAAAGCCAGGGGAGCAAACGGGAUUAGAUACCCCGGUAGUCCUGGCCCUAAACGAUGAGGACUAGGUUGCGGACUGAACAUGGGUUCGCAGCCGAAGCAAAAGUGGUAAGUCCUCCGCCUGGGGAGUAUGGUCGCAAGGCUGAA